CAACCCUCAAGCUCUGCUUGGUAUUAGGCUUCACCCCCAAGGGCGGGCUUCAAAAUCAGUGGCGGUGCCAUUUGGCUUCAAGCGUAGUAAUUUUCUCGCUUUGGAGGACCAAGUGUGUGCCUGCCAGCAACCCCAAUAUUUUUUAAA
This 147-nucleotide unclassified non-coding RNA is filed under the name uncultured Alatospora. RNAcentral's name for it is "sequence contains ITS2". Lineage: Eukaryota; Fungi; Ascomycota. The record is from RNAcentral.